Molecule: ribosomal RNA, 327 nt
Filed under: uncultured eukaryote
Lineage: Eukaryota
Description: partial 18S ribosomal RNA
Rfam family: Eukaryotic small subunit ribosomal RNA
Source: RNAcentral
CCCUUAGAUGUUCUGGGCCACACGCGCGUUACACUGAUGAAGCCAGCGAGUAUAUCGCCUUCACCGGAAGGUGCGGGUAAUCUUGUGAAACUUCAUCGUGCUGGGGAUAGACCAUUGCAAUUAUUGGUCUUGAACGAGGAAUUCCUAGUAAGCAUGAGUCAUCAACUCGUGCUGAUUACGUCCCUGCCCUUUGUACACACCGCCCGUCGCUACUACCGAUCGAAUGGUUUAGUGAGAUCUCGGGAUUGGAGACGUUGCGCCGCAAGGCACAUCGUCCUCGAGAACUUGAUCAAACUUGAUCAUUUAGAGGAAGUAAAAGUCGUAACA